GAUGAACGCUGGCGGCGUGCCUAAACCAUGCCAGUCGACCAAAAGGUGAGGAGCUUUCUCCUCUGAUGUUUGCGGCGGACGGGUGAGUAACCCCGUGAAAACCUACCUUUAAGACUGGGAUAAAUUCGGGAAACCGGAGCUAAUACCGGAUAACAUUGUUAACCGCAUGGUUCAACAGUGAAAGACGGUCUUGCUGUCACUUAUAGAUGGAUCCGCGCCGCAUUAGCUAGUUGGUAAGGUAACGGCUUACCAAGGCAACGAUGCGUAGCCGACCUGAGAGGGUGAUCGGCCACACUGGAACUGAGACACGGUCCAGACUCCUACGGGAGGCAGCAGUAGGGAAUCUUCCGCAAUGGGCGAAAGCCUGACGGAGCAACGCCGCGUGAGUGAAGAAGGUCUUCGGAUCGUAAAACUCUGUUAUUAGGGAAGAACAAAUGUGUAAGUAACUAUGCACGUCUUGACGGUACCUAAUCAGAAAGCCACGGCUAACUACGUG
RNAcentral lists this ribosomal RNA (496 nucleotides) under uncultured bacterium. RNAcentral's name for it is "partial 16S ribosomal RNA". It matches the Rfam family "Bacterial small subunit ribosomal RNA", at positions 28 to 507 of the family's 1533-position model. The record is from RNAcentral.